Molecule: ribosomal RNA, 305 nt
Filed under: uncultured bacterium
Lineage: Bacteria
Description: bacterial SSU rRNA
Rfam family: Bacterial small subunit ribosomal RNA
Source: RNAcentral
UCCUACGGGGCGCAGCAGUGAGGAAUAUUGGUCAAUGGGCGCGAGCCUGAACCAGCCAAGUAGCGUGAAGGAUGAAGGUUCUAUGGAUUGUAAACUUCUUUUAUAAAGGAAUAAAGUGAGGCACGUGUGCCUUUUUGUAUGUACUUUAUGAAUAAGGAUCGGCUAACUCCGUGCCAGCAGCCGCGGUAAUACGGAGGAUCCGAGCGUUAUCCGGAUUUAUUGGGUUUAAAGGGAGCGUAGGUGGAUUGUUAAGUCAGUUGUGAAAGUUUGCGGCUCAACCGUAAAAUUGCAGUUGAAACUGGCAG